UGCGAGCUCACCCAGUUACCGGUAGUGGCUCAGGUCAGUUUCUAUUGGUAGCUGUAAUGGAUGUGACCACCUUAGUACACACCUUUGGGGAAUGCAUUUAUGCCCUGUGGGUACCCAAGACUGCUGUGGCGUCCACACACCAUGAUGUUCAGAUUGGGUAUCUGCCCACUGGGCCUGACUCAUUCAGAGCCUUGCCUUCUGGUGUGCUGAGUCACCACAGAAGAUAUUAGCUGUCAGGUGACUGUUAACUAGAGCUUUCCGGAGCUGGGAGCAAACUAUAUGCAAGAACUUGAAGAGAGGGAUUCUCUCGUUUAGUUCACAGGUUCAGAGGCCAGCCCAUGGUCCUGCAGUGAGGCAUAACAUUGUCUCCCAGAAGACAGGAAACAGAGAGAGAAGAGAUGACCUAGGAAGACAGACAGCCCUCAAGGACCCACCCCUGGUGACAUACUUCCUCUAACUAGACCCCACCUCCUAAAGUUUCUCGAACCUUCCAAAAUACCACCAUCAGCAAGAGAUCAAGCCUUCAACUCAUGAGUCUUUUGGGGGAUUUUCAUACCCUCACAGUAACAAGAGUGAUGGUGUGUGUCCCUGGCUUCUGCCACAGCAGCCAGACAUCAUAGUUGGCCCUCCUCAGCAGCAGUGUGGCCACGGCUGUGGGCUAUGGCCACGAUUUUCCAUUUCCACAGUGAGCUGCAUGUCCUGAUGUGGCUGUCAAAUGACACAGCCGUGGCUUCCACGCGUCUCUCACAUUGUCUUUGUCUCCCCAGAAGAGCUGUCAAUCAAGCGAGAAUCUGGUUUUCUACCUAAGCUGCAGUAUUUUUACAGCAGGAAAGUGUGACCAGAGGUAGGUGGGUUCAUCUGCGUCAACGUCCCCCAUUGCUCCUGGGUCACCCUGCUGAAGAAGCCACAGGAGCCUUGAUGUCCAAAGGAAGCAGCUGAGGAACUUCUAGGUUUGCACGCCCCUAGAGCAAUGGCUCCCACCCUUCCCAAUGCUGUGACCCUUUAACACACGUUGUGCUGGCCCCAACCAUGAAACCAUUUUCAUCGCUACCUCAUAGCUAUACUUUUGCUACUCUUAUAAAUCAUACUGUAAAU
Molecule: non-coding RNA, 1095 nt
Organism: Rattus norvegicus (Norway rat)
Lineage: Eukaryota; Metazoa; Chordata; Mammalia; Rodentia; Muridae
Source: RefSeq, a predicted model, not a curated record